CACUUAUCAAGAAAGGCGGAGGGACAGGCCCUAUGAUGCCUUAGCAACCAGUAGCAAUACCAGGUGCUAAAUCCUGUUUCAGGCCUACUUCGGUGGGCCCGGAAGAAGAUAAGCU
Molecule: non-coding RNA, 115 nt
Filed under: Hymenobacter psychrotolerans
Lineage: Bacteria; Pseudomonadati; Bacteroidota; Cytophagia; Cytophagales; Hymenobacteraceae
Description: SAM-I sequence
Rfam family: SAM riboswitch aptamer (S box leader)
About the family: The SAM riboswitch is found upstream of a number of genes which code for proteins involved in methionine or cysteine biosynthesis in Gram-positive bacteria.
Source: RNAcentral